GCCUUCGUGGUGUAACGGUUAGCACAGCGCGUAUUCGAGAGGUCCAGGUUCGAGUCCCGGCGAGGGCA
This 68-nucleotide transfer RNA is filed under the name Stegodyphus mimosarum. It matches the Rfam family "tRNA". From Rfam's summary of the family: Transfer RNA (tRNA) molecules are approximately 80 nucleotides in length. Their secondary structure includes four short double-helical elements and three loops (D, anti-codon, and T loops). Further hydrogen bonds mediate the characteristic L-shaped molecular structure. tRNAs have two regions of fundamental functional importance: the anti-codon, which is responsible for specific mRNA codon recognition, and the 3' end, to which the tRNAs corresponding amino acid is attached (by aminoacyl-tRNA synthetases). tRNAs cope with the degeneracy of the genetic code in two manners: having more than one tRNA (with a specific anti-codon) for a particular amino acid; and 'wobble' base-pairing, i.e. permitting non-standard base-pairing at the 3rd anti-codon position. Lineage: Eukaryota; Metazoa; Arthropoda; Arachnida; Araneae; Eresidae. The record is from Rfam by way of RNAcentral.